GAGCUCUUCAGUAGCGGGGACUGGCUAGACGGUGGUGGAGAUGCGGCAUUGAAGUUUCUCCAGCAGCUGACCACGGUUGGCAAUGAUAGGAGGUUGACAAUGGAUCGAGCAGCACUAACAACGGCGGACAACGAGUGGACAAUUAUACCGAGCACCACCGCCACCUCCUUACCCCUAACCGACGACGAUCACAACGGGACGAGUCCAACGUCAUCGUCCAACUCUAGCUUCGCACCAGGUACUCCUUCGCCACCUCCUCCCCCGCCACUUCCAUCACCUCCGAGGUUGGCCAUUUCGCGUUCUCCACCUCCUGCUCCACCACCACCAGUUUCUGUUACUGGUCGUCCCCCUCCUCCGCCACCUCCACCACCUCCGUUCAAGCUUCCAAGUUCUACUGCUGGAGCUACUGCAAAGCCACAACCGCCACCGCCACCGCCACCUCCACCUCCUCCACCGUUUCCUCGAGGGAAUUUAGGUGCCCCACCUCCGCCUCCACCACCGUUGCCUCGAGGGAAUU
Molecule: long non-coding RNA, 517 nt
Filed under: Selaginella moellendorffii
Lineage: Eukaryota; Viridiplantae; Streptophyta; Lycopodiopsida; Selaginellales; Selaginellaceae
Description: long non-coding RNA (SMOE_LNC000276)
Source: RNAcentral